RNAcentral lists this ribosomal RNA (448 nucleotides) under uncultured prokaryote. RNAcentral's name for it is "partial 16S ribosomal RNA". It matches the Rfam family "Bacterial small subunit ribosomal RNA", at positions 355 to 796 of the family's 1533-position model. The record is from RNAcentral.
UCGGGAAUCUUGCACAAUGGGCGAAAGCCUGAUGCAGCAACGCCGUGUGAGCGAGGAAGGCCUUCGGGUCGUAAAGCUCUGUUGUUGGGGACGAAGGGCGAAGGGUUAAUAGCCCCUAGCCUGACGGUACCCUUCGAGGAAGCCCCGGCUAACUACGUGCCAGCAGCCGCGGUAAUACGUAGGGGGCGAGCGUUGUCCGGAAUUACUGGGCGUAAAGCGCGCGUAGGCGGGCUGUUAAGUCAGAGGUGAAAUCCCGGGGCUCAACCCCGGAACUGCCUUUGAUACUGGCAGCCUAGAGUUCGAGAGAGGUGAGUGGAAUUCCGAGUGUAGAGGUGAAAUUCGUAGAUAUUCGGAGGAACACCAGUGGCGAAGGCGGCUCACUGGCUCGAUACUGACGCUGAGGUGCGAAAGCGUGGGGAGCAAACAGGAUUAGAUACCCGUGUAGUCC